GAUGAACGCUGGCGGCGUGCCUAAUACAUGCAAGUCGAGUGAACAGACGAGGAGCUUGCUCCUCUGACGUUAGCGGCGGACGGGUGAGUAACACGUGGAUAACCUACCUAUAAGACUGGGAUAACUUCGGGAAACCGGAGCUAAUACCGGAUAAUAUAUUGAACCGCAUGGUUCAAUAGUUAAAGACGGUUUUGCUGUCACUUAUAGAUGGAUCCGCGCCGCAUUAGCUAGUUGGUAAGGUAACGGCUUACCAAGGCAACGAUGCGUAGCCGACCUGAGAGGGUGAUCGGCCACACUGGAACUGAGACACGGUCCAGACUCCUACGGGAGGCAGCAGUAGGGAAUCUUCCGCAAUGGGCGAAAGCUUGACGGAGCAACGCCGCGUGAGUGAUGAAGGUCUUCGGAUCGUAAAACUCUGUUAUUAGGGAAGAACAAAUGUGUAAGUAACUAUGCACGUCUUGACGGUACCUAAUCAGAAAGCCACGGCUAACUACGUG
RNAcentral lists this ribosomal RNA (497 nucleotides) under uncultured bacterium. RNAcentral describes it as "partial 16S ribosomal RNA". It matches the Rfam family "Bacterial small subunit ribosomal RNA", at positions 28 to 507 of the family's 1533-position model. The record is from RNAcentral.